Long non-coding RNA from Zalophus californianus (California sea lion), 3850 nucleotides. RefSeq lists it as uncharacterized. The record is from RefSeq and is a predicted model, not a curated record. NCBI's taxonomy places the organism in Eukaryota, Metazoa, Chordata, Mammalia, Carnivora, Otariidae. The transcript is spliced from 7 exons.
GCAGAGAGUUCUUUCUUGAAAGCAGCUUUGUUUGAAAGACAAAUACUAGGAAGGAAAAGUAUUGGUAAAGUCUCAUCAGGAGGCAAGCUCUGUUCUCUGGGUGGGCAGCCAUCUACCAGUUAGUUCUCAGAAUGUUUAGGAUGCUGGUUUUCUCCAAACUGGAGCUAAAGGAAAGUCAUCUGACUCAGGGAUAUCAAUUAGGCCAGGGGGGCCAAAGCCCUGUGGGAUUAGGAUGAGAGCCCUAAGACCUUGGUAUGGCUCAUUUCCUUACCCGUCAACCCACUGGCAUCCAGCUAGCAAAUAGCAUUUAAUUCAAUUCAAAAAAUAUAUAUUAAACAGCUACUAUGUAUUGGCACAAUUUGUCUUCCUGGGAUACAAGAUGAAGGAGACCAAGUCCUCCAAGAAGCUGACAGCCUCUCUAACAUGGAAGAAAAACAAGUAAACAGGUCAUUUAAAGUAUACGAUAAGAAGUGUUAAUCAUUGGAAAGUUCUAUACACCAAACCAUCCAUCAGUGUUCUGGAGUCUGCCUUCUGGAGAGACAUAGUCCUGUGUAACGUGAAGGCUGAAUUGACAGCCCAGUCUCUGGCCAAGACAAGUGGACUUCACCACAAGUUCAUUAGCUAUAGAUGUUGGCAGCAGACAGCAGCAGAAAACACAAGGAUGGGACUGAGAGCCAACCCUAGCUCACUGGAUCCAGCCAGCACACUAAGAAAGCAGCACAGGAUGUUGGCUAAAGCCAUCAGGCAGAGUUCUCCAGAAGCAGAUGCUGAGAUGGAGCUCAGAGUGUGAGCUGUUUAUUAGGGAUCAACACCUGUGAAGGGAAAAGCAGAGGAAGAAGGGAAACUAUGAUGCAGGCCCUGCAAAACUGCAGCCCACCCAACGGGGAGCUCUGUAUUAAAUACGGAUUAUGGCAUCUUUCCCAAGAUCAGCCAAAAUGGCCAUGCUUGAUACCUGACCUUGUUCAUUCACUAAUGUGGGCUUACCCAGGAAGGGCAUGACUUCAGAGUGGAGAAUAACUGUGGUAUUCUGCAACAUACUGAAUGGGAAAGUAGCAUAAGAACAUGAUAACAAAGAGCCUUUCAUGCUGCAAGGGAGAGUAUUCCUGUUGGCACAGAGAACCUUCACUACUGGGACUGCUAAACUGCAAAUCUGUGAAAAGAAAGAUUUCUAUGUUCAGAAAUACUGGAUAUAUUUAAAAUAGUGUCACUUUAGUGUGUCUGUGGGUGUGGGUGUGGGGGGGGUGUGUGUGUGUGUAGACACACACAAUUUGCUUAUGUAUUUAUAUGUAUGUAUGAAUCCUUUAUUUAAAAUCUCUUUGGCUGGGUUUACAAAAGUUUGCUCUUCACUGGAGUGCUGAGUCUGUUUGUCUGAAAUACAAUAAACCAGGGCUUAUACUCAGGGAGCACACAUCAAGCAGCCAUACUACUUAUUAAAUAUCGAAAAUUUUUUCUACCAGUUGGGAAGUGGGAUAAUAAUAAACAUGAUAAGCACUAAAAUUAAUUAAUGAAUUCCAGCAUGUGUGGUUUUUCUCAGAAAUCAUACACCACUAUGAUUUCUAUAUAUUUUGUUUGUUUGUUUGUGUGGGCACUGGAGCAUAGAAUGGGUAGACCUGCUGAAGAGAUUCUGUUUUUUGUUUCAGGUGUUGAGGAAUUUCUUUCAGGUUCAAACAUUCUUGGCUAGAAGGAGAUCCACACAGACACAUUGAGGAGAAACCGAUAAUGAUCAUUCAGUUGUCUCCACACCAUUACUGGUUGGUUCCUGACUGGACUUUGAAAGGAGGCAACCAUCUUGCCCUUCUUGGGUGGAACAAAACUGACAAAAUAUGCAGAUUCUUAACUCAGCUGGGAUAUCUCAUAUCUUCUACCUUCUGACGGGGAUUUAUGCCCCUGGCUCCUCUCAGUCUCAGGCUUUUAGACUCAGACUGAAUUACAUCCUUGGCUUUCUUGGGUCUCCAGCUCUCCGAGGGCAGAUCGUGGGACUUCUCAGCUUUCGUAAUCAUGUGAGUCAAUUCCUCAUAAUAAAUCUCUUGUUUUGUGUGUGUGUGCAUAUAUAUACCUUUAGUAUAAAAAAAUUGAGGAAAAGCCACAACAGUAACAGCUGUAGCAUUUUAGGAACAUAUUUGAGUGGCUACUCCAUAGUUCCCUGUACAUUCUAACUAUUCAUCCGUUUAUAUGUACUAUUUCCUAAAUUUCUAUUAUACGUGGUUUUAAUUGCUUUCUCUUCUCUUUUUUUUCAUUUUAAUUUAUAUAAUAUGAAGCUAUAUGCAUUAUGGCUAUACAGUUCUUCAUAUGAAUGUUCUUUUUCUUUAUUCAGUUCUUCAGGCUUUCUAUAUAAAAUGUCUUGGCAUAGCUAAAUUAUUCCACAUUUCACUGCCUUUGAAAUUCCAAAAGGGGUUUCCUGUGCUCUGUUGGCUUUUCCCAAUUUCUUUCUUUUCUUUUUCUCCCAGAUUCUUCUGGGCAGUAAUAUCAAAUAACUAUGAGGACAUCUGAUACUUCCAGAGAGAGGAUUUUCUGUUAAAAAAAAAACUUUCUGGAAACAGGAAAUCAUUUUUAGUUGGCCACAUUCAGAGUUCCAAAGCUAAGAGCUUUGGAAAGUUUUAUUUUAUUGCUUUUUGAUGUUAGCAUAAUGUAGGCUCUCAUACUUAGGAUGUCUUUGGAAUUAUUACUUUAGAAAAUGAUAUACAUAAAUAUACUCUGCAGAAUGCAGCCUUAUGUAUGUACCAAUAGUUAUCACCUAUCUAUCUAUUAUCUAACUAUCAUCUAUCUAUCUAUCACCUUUUGUAAAAUAAACUAUGUAUGUUAAACAAUAGAACUAAAUGAGGCAAACAAACAAAACUGGAAUGAUAAUCAGUUAUAUACAACAUAAUAUGAAGGAAAUUAUUUUGGUACUCCAUGAAGAAUUGUUUUAAUAUAUAUUUAUUUUAUGUGUUUGCUUCUGAAUAUGCAAAUUAAUUUUAUAAAUUAUAAAAAGUUUAGAAGAAGACAAGGAAUAUAACAACACGAUUAUAAUGUAUUAGUUUUGUUCAUGUGGAGACAAUGAUAAUAGCACUACUUUGACCCAAGUAAUCUGAGUUUAAGUUAUAGAAUCUAUAGUAAACCCACUGAAAUAGAAUUAAACACAGGGAGUUGGAUAACAUUCCCUCUCCACUUUAUUUGCAUCUCUGUGUUCAAAAAUGUAAAUUGCCAAGCAACAGAAAGAAAAACUAGUGAAUUACCACUUUCACAAUGCUUUAUUUUGGGUUGCAUUGGGUAGGACUCAUGGAGAAGACUGAAACACAGGUUAAGUGCUCAUCAGUUUUGAAAAGUCCUUAGUUCAUUUUGUACAACUAUCUUGGAAAACUAAAAGAAAACCAAAAAUACAUCAACUUUUUUUUUUCUCUAUGUGCCAUGUGUCGUGAGGUACAUGAGGAAGAAUCACCACCUCCUCUGGUGACCUGAGUUUGGACCUGCCUAGGAGAGAGUGAAUGACUUCAUGCUGGAACACGCUGAGGCUGGAGCAUCCUGGCAGCAGAAGCAUCAUGGCUGCCCCUUUAAGGGAACAUGGAAUCCAGGGCAGUGGAAUCAGCUUCUAGGUUGUGAAAGUCUCCAAGGGGAACAUGAUGUACAGGCCAACUUCCAGAUGCUACUAGGGGGAAUGUUCAACAUGGUUAUUUAGAGAACUUCGCAGGGCAAGUGCCUCUCCUUACCCCACUGUAUGCUUCCUGUCACAGAGAUCCCAUCUAGAGUAUUCAUUAUUGUAUCUGAAGUACUUACAACACUAUAGAUUUUCAGUGAAUGAUUAAAGAAUAUAAUAAAUGUUAUAAACUGCCCUAUAAGGAUUGUCACACUGAGCAUUUCCAGCUUCAAAAGG